Long non-coding RNA from Pecten maximus, 3013 nucleotides. RefSeq lists it as uncharacterized. The record is from RefSeq and is a predicted model, not a curated record. NCBI's taxonomy places the organism in Eukaryota, Metazoa, Mollusca, Bivalvia, Pectinida, Pectinidae. The transcript is spliced from 4 exons.
UAGAUCUUUCUGGAAAACCUGGCCGACUGAUCUAUCAACAGACUUAUCAGUAUUACUGCUAUAUUGUACCUGUAUAUCAUCUAGAGCUGUGACGGAACAUCCCCGGUGAUAACCAUACAGUGAAGAGCAAUGUGUGACACACGGGUUUAAUUAUAGACAUUGUGUGUACGUGUAGACAUUCCCAGACGGUGGACAAGCAACAUAACAUCCGAAAUCCAGCGCAAUAUCUGAAACCCUACAUAACAUCCGAAAUCCAACACAAUAUCUGAAAUCCAUAGUUACUCGGGAAAUCCCAAGCGCCUAUCACUGCACUGCGAGGUGUAACACUCACAGAGGACACAUCGAUAACAAAUUACCACAAACAGAUUUACAGACAAAAUGCCUAUGCAAAUUAUGGUGCAAGCUGGUACAGACGGCAAGACACAGCUAAUUGAUGCCGAACCGGGUGAGAGCAUGUCUUCACUGUUCCAGAAGAUCUCGGACCGCCGUGGUGUAGAAAAACAGUACCUGCAGGUCGUCUACGCCGGCAAAACGUACCGACCUGGCGACGCAAAGACCGACCACAAAACUAUUGCCGACCUUGGCAUGAAAGACCGGUCGCUCGUGCAGCUCGUAACCAGGUUACCAGGGGGUCAAUAGGUCAUCUUGCAUCACGAUGAUUUCACGAAGACUAGGGUAGGAUGGCCGCACUGCCAUUGUAACAUUGACAAUAAAAGAUUUGUUUCAUUUUAUGAAGAGAUUCAGUUCAAACGUCGGAUGACGUCAUAUCCUGUGACGCAGUGAUAAGAUGCAUGACAUUAUAGUGAUAAGAUGGCACAAGUUUGUUAUCUCGCUAAAAUUGCCUGUAUGAACUGAUAUUUCAGUAUAUGAGGUACUGAAGCUGGGAGUUUUACUUAUAGGUACUGGACUAAAUCGAUUCACUGCUAUAUGUUGGAAAUGGACCAAGAUUGAACCUCUGUCUCUUAAGUUUGCAGAAUUCCCAGAACAGUUUAAAAAUUGUCUGUGAUAAUUUGCAUUUUUUUGUAACAAUUUGAAAUCUGCAGGAGAAACCUAUUUUGUGAUUAUAUGUCAUUUUAUCUGUCAAUGGUAUCUAGUGUAGGCAGUGAAGUGUACUGUUACAUAGGAGAUGGAGAGAUUAUUUUGUGUUACCGAAUGGAUGGGUCAUUUUAAAGCAAAAGAAAUAUCUGUUAUAUCAUUUUAAUGGGUCAUUUGGGGAAAUUGUAGGCCAGGGUCCUCAUGGCCCCCUCCUAAAUGUUCCCUGGAUAUGUGAUGUUACCUUGGAGAUGAGAUGUUCCCUGGGAGAUGUUACGUUACCUAGGAGAUCAGAUGUUACCUGGGGGGAUGUUACCUGGGAGACGUGAUGUUACCUGGGAGACGUGAUGUUCCCUGGGAGACGUGAUGUUACCUGGGAGACGUGAUGUUCCCUGGGAUAUGUUACGUUACCUACAUGUAGGAGAUAUGAUGUUACCUUGGGGUGUGGGUGGGUGAUGGGGGUGUUACCUGGGAGAGGUGAUGUUACCUAGGAGUUAACGUGUUACCUGGGAGAUGUUACGUUACCUAGGAGAUAACAUGUUACCUGGGGGUUGGGGGUGGGUUGGGGUGGGGGGAUUUACCUGGUAGAUGUGAUGUUACCUGGGAGAUGUUAUGUUAUCUGGGAGAUGUUAUGUACCUGGGAGAUGUAAUGUUACCUGGGAGAUGUUAUGUACCUGGGAGAUGUAAUGUUACCUGGGAGAUGUAAUGUUACCCUUGAGGUAUGAUGUUACCUGGAUGUGUGGUGUUACCCUUGAUAUAUAAUUGUAUCUGGGGUUGUGAUGUUACCUGGGAGACGUCAUGUUACCUAGGAUAUAUGAUGAUACCUGGGCUAUGUGAUUUUUCCCGGUUAACGUCACAUCUCCCCAUAGUAUUUUUACUAUUAUUACAUCUGAUGCAUUGAAACGGUAAUGUAGUGCGUACUAUCAGAGACGGCCACUGAUGUAGGGCAGAUGUUUGAUCAUAUAAAAAAUAACCCGUAUGACACUUAAUUGCAUCUGUCGUAAAGUGGCCUAUGGUGUAAGUAUACCGGUGUCGUAUGACUACAUCUUCAUUUGAUUGAACCGUGUAAUUUAUUAUUUUAGUUGAUGUGUUACAUUAGGAAACCACGUAGGAAACAAAAAAGACAAGACUGUUUUUCUUAUUACAUCGUUGUCUUCAUCAGCGGUUUCACUAUUGUAUACAAGAGAGUGUAAAUUAUAUUGGUAUGUAAGUCGGGUAUAUAUUAUAAUGAAAUGCGAUGUUAUAACGCUUGAUGUGUAUUUGCAAAGGAAAUAGUAUGCGAGUUUGGUUGAUACCUGCAUGGCUCUAAUACCUUAUGAUUGUUACUUAAUCUGGUAAGCAAAUGAGCAUGACUGACUAGCCAUGUAUGAUACCGUAAAUACUUUCCUGGCUUCUGAUUGGUUAUGAACUAUUCCGACAUUUCAUGACGGUUCAGGGCUAUCCAUGGACCUCCCUGUCAGCUCGAAGGCAAGACUUGUUUAUCGUCAGUCCUUUAUGGUGGCAUACCCAAACUCACAGUUGAUUGGCCGUUUUUAAGAGCAUGGACCUUGAACGUUCAUGUACACUUUGUAACGAUGUGUACCGUUCCGAUAUAUUAUGGACGAUGUGCAAGGCCAUGCGCCGUUCUGAUAGUUCAUGGACAAUUUAAGGCUAUGUGCUGUUCCGUUAGUUCAUGGACGAUUUGCCGGUCCAUGGACCUUUUUGAAAGUUCAUGGACGAUUUACAGCUCCAUGGACUUUUCUGAAAAUCCAUUAACGCUUUGUAAGGUCAUGGACCUUUCUGUUAGUUUAUGGAAACUUUUUGAAGCCAAGGGCCGUUCUGAUAGUUCAUGGACCGUUUCGUCAUGAACGAUAUCAGGUGUUACAAAUGAUAUCGGCUUUACCCGUUACCAUAGUAACGGAAGAAAUGCUUCAGUCUUGAGCCAAGUAGAAAUUAUAUAAUCAUUUGUUUGUUUUCUGAAAUAAAAGAUAAUUUCUCUCUU